GAUGAACGCUGGCGGCGUGCCUAAUACAUGCAAGUCGAGCGAACAGAUGAGGAGCUUGCUCCUCUGACGUUAGCGGCGGACGGGUGAGUAACACGUGGAUAACCUACCUAUAAGACUGGGAUAACUUCGGGAAACCGGAGCUAAUACCGGAUAAUAUAUUGAACCGCAUGGUUCAAUAGUGAAAGACGGUUUUGCUGUCACUUAUAGAUGGAUCCGCGCCGCAUUAGCUAGUUGGUAAGGUAACGGCUUACCAAGGCAACGAUGCGUAGCCGACCUGAGAGGGUGAUCGGCCACACUGGAACUGAGACACGGUCCAGACUCCUACGGGAGGCCGCAGUAGGGAAUCUUACGCAAUGGGCGAAAGCCUGACGGAGCAACGCCGCGUGAGUGAUGAAGGUCUUCGGAUCGUAAAACCCUGUUAUUAGGGAAGAACAAAUGUGUAAGUAACUAUGCACGUCUUGACGGUACCUAAUCAGAAAGCCACGGCUAACUACGUG
RNAcentral lists this ribosomal RNA (497 nucleotides) under uncultured bacterium. Its description in RNAcentral is "partial 16S ribosomal RNA". It matches the Rfam family "Bacterial small subunit ribosomal RNA", at positions 28 to 507 of the family's 1533-position model. The record is from RNAcentral.